Molecule: ribosomal RNA, 631 nt
Filed under: uncultured bacterium
Lineage: Bacteria
Description: bacterial SSU rRNA
Rfam family: Bacterial small subunit ribosomal RNA (bases 1-541)
Source: RNAcentral
CCUACGGGAGGCAGCAGUGGGGAAUUUUGGACAAUGGACGCAAGUCUGAUCCAGCCAUGCCGCGUGCGGGAAGAAGGCCUUCGGGUUGUAAACCGCUUUUGUCAGGGAAGAAAAGGUUCUGGUUAAUACCUGGGACUCAUGACGGUACCUGAAGAAUAAGCACCGGCUAACUACGUGCCAGCAGCCGCGGUAAUACGUAGGGUGCAAGCGUUAAUCGGGAUUACUGGGCGUAAAGCGUGCGCAGGCGGUUAUGCAAGACAGAUGUGAAAUCCCCGGGCUCAACCUGGGAACUGCAUUUGUGACUGCAUAGCUAGAGUACGGUAGAGGGGGGUGGAAUUCCGCGUGUAGCAGUGAAAUGCGUAGAUAUGCGGAGGAACACCGAUGGCGAAGGCAAUCCCCUGGACCUGUACUGACGCUCAUGCACGAAAGCGUGGGGAGCAAACAGGAUUAGAUACCCUGGUAGUCCACGCCCUAAACGAUGUCAACUGGUUGUUGGGAGGUUUCUUCUCAGUAACGAAGCUAACGCGUGAAGUUGACCGCCGUGGGGAGGUACGGCCGCGAGGUUAGGAACGUACGAAGGAAAGUUAGUACGGCGUGAGACGUGCCGACGGACGACGACGAGGGAGGAGGG